This 107-nucleotide small nuclear RNA is filed under the name Saimiri boliviensis boliviensis (Bolivian squirrel monkey). The record is from RNAcentral. Lineage: Eukaryota; Metazoa; Chordata; Mammalia; Primates; Cebidae.
GUGCUCACUUUGACAGCACAUAUAUUAAAAUUGGAAUGAUUCAGAGGAGAUUAGCAUGGCCCCUGCUCAAGGGUGACCUAAAAAUUCAUGAAAUAUUCCAUAUUUUU